This 85-nucleotide transfer RNA is filed under the name Holospora undulata HU1. It matches the Rfam family "tRNA". From Rfam's summary of the family: Transfer RNA (tRNA) molecules are approximately 80 nucleotides in length. Their secondary structure includes four short double-helical elements and three loops (D, anti-codon, and T loops). Lineage: Bacteria; Pseudomonadati; Pseudomonadota; Alphaproteobacteria; Holosporales; Holosporaceae. The record is from Rfam by way of RNAcentral.
CCCCUGGUGGCGAAACUGGUUAGACGCGGUAGACUCAAAAUCUACUGCCUGUACGGGCAUGAGAGUUCGACUCUCUCCUAGGGGA